GUGCCAGCAGCCGCGGUAAUACAGAGGGUGCGAGCGUUAAUCGGAUUUACUGGGCGUAAAGCGUGCGUAGGCGGCCAAUUAAGUCAAAUGUGAAAUCCCCGAGCUUAACUUGGGAAUUGCAUUCGAUACUGGUUGGCUAGAGUAUGGGAGAGGAUGGUAGAAUUCCAGGUGUAGCGGUGAAAUGCGUAGAGAUCUGGAGGAAUACCGAUGGCGAAGGCAGCCAUCUGGCCUAAUACUGACGCUGAGUACGAAAGCAUGGGAGCAAACAGGAUUAGAUACCCUGGUAGUCCAUGACCCGUAAACGAUGUCUACUAGCCGUUGGGCCUUUGAGGUCUUUAGUGGCGCAGCUAAACGCGAAUAAGUAGACCGCCGUGGGAGUACGGUCGCAAGACUAAAC
RNAcentral lists this ribosomal RNA (397 nucleotides) under uncultured Acinetobacter sp. Its description in RNAcentral is "bacterial SSU rRNA". It matches the Rfam family "Bacterial small subunit ribosomal RNA", at positions 505 to 899 of the family's 1533-position model. The record is from RNAcentral. Lineage: Bacteria; Pseudomonadati; Pseudomonadota; Gammaproteobacteria; Moraxellales; Moraxellaceae.